AUCGAACGCUGGCGGCAAGCCUAACACAUGCAAGUCGAACGAGGGGCGGACGGGUGAGAAAUGUCUGGGAAACUGCCUGAUGGAGGGGGUAAACUACUGGAAACGGUAGCUAAUACCGCAUACCAUCGGAUGUGCCCAGAGGGGAUUAGCUAGUAGGUGGGGUAAAGGCUCACCUAGGCGACGAUCCCGAGCUGGUCUGAGAGGAUGACCAGCCACACUGGAACUGAGACACUGUCCAGACUCCUACGGGAGGAAGCAGUGGGGAAUAGUGGACAAUGGGCGCAAGGCUGAUGCAGCCAUGCAGCGUGUAUGAAGAAGGCCUGUGGGUUGUAAAGUACUUUCAGCGGGGAGGCGUUACCCGCAGAAGAAGCACCGGCUAACUCCGUGCCAGCAGCCGCGGUAAUAC
RNAcentral lists this ribosomal RNA (406 nucleotides) under uncultured bacterium. RNAcentral's name for it is "partial 16S ribosomal RNA". It matches the Rfam family "Bacterial small subunit ribosomal RNA", at positions 29 to 526 of the family's 1533-position model. The record is from RNAcentral.